Molecule: non-coding RNA, 26 nt
Filed under: Rattus norvegicus (Norway rat)
Lineage: Eukaryota; Metazoa; Chordata; Mammalia; Rodentia; Muridae
Source: RNAcentral
GAUCAAUCUACUAGCUUACGUGCCCU